ACAGAUACCCACUCCACCAUUUCCACUUCUUCCACACACACACACUCUCUCUCUCUCUAUAUGUUUCUGUCACUGCUCUGCCAUCUCUCUCUUUCCUGGAUACCGUAUCUUCUCUGGCCUCCCUUCCUUCACCUUGUCUCACUCUAACUAUUUCCGUACACGCUUUCCUCUCCGGCUAAAUGCCGGCCGCCGCCGCCAGCCUCAACCCCACUUCAAUCUCUUCCUAAAUGAACUAAUCCUUCUAACGUCAAGAUGCUUCCAACUCCACCACGGCGCGCCAAACCCUCACCCUCCUUAUAAAGUGGCCGGAAUUCGGUAAAAAAGCCUGCUUCAAGAUGUCUAAUGCUUCAACCUCAACCGAAGACGCGGCGGCGAAGGCGGCGAGCAAGCGCUAUGAAGGUCUGGUGGCGGUCCGUAGCAAGGCGGUGCAAGGGAAAGGAGCUUGGUACUGGGCUCAUCUCGAGCCAAUUUUGAUCAGGGAAAAUGAAACGAAAUCGCCCAAAGCCGUGAAGCUGAAAUGCACUCUCUGCGAUGCCGCCUUCUCUGCAUCAAACCCAUCAAGAACUGCUACUGAACACCUCAAGAAAGGGACUUGUCCUAAUUUCAGCUCAAUGUUGAAUCCCCUCACGCAGCUUCCGCCUUUGGCGUCGCCUUCUUCGCGAAAGAAUAAUCGCAAGCGAUGUUUGCAGUCUCAGCAAUCUAAUGAUGCUUCUUUAGAUGUAUGCCCGCUUAACAUGGUUGAUCCCUCUCGUUUCCUAAGCAACGAGGUAAGCUUUCUGCCUGCUCAGGCUCCGCCGCCUCUGUGUCUGAAGCCGCUCCUCUUGUCUGGUGGGAGAGAGGAUUACGGGCCGUUGGCGCGGCUCGAGAGUAGCGUGAAGAAGCUCAAGAGCCCCAGCGGUUCGCCUAUUUCGGCCUUGAGCAAGAAUCAAGUCAAGAAAGCGUUUGAUGUUUUGGCAGACUGGUUUUACGAGUCAUGUGGGGUGGUGUCCUUGUCAAGUCUUGAACAUCCCAAGUUCAGGGCUUUUCUCAACCAGGUGGGGUUUCCUGCAUCCUUGAAAAUGGAGUUCCUGAGCUCGAGGCUCGAAUCCAAGUUUGAAGGAGCUAGGAUGGAGUCUGAAGCUAGGAUUUCAGAUGCAGCAUUCUUUCAGGUUGCUUGUGAUGGGUGGAAGGCUAGAAGCUGUGGUGUUGGGAGUCAGCGUUUGGUUAAGUUCACGGUCAACCUUCCCAACAGGACGACGGUGUUCCAAAAGGCGAUGUGUGUUGAUGGUGCUGCCGUGCCAUCACAGUAUGCGGAGGAAGUUUUGUGGGAGACUAUCCAAGGGAUAUGUGGUGACAAUGUGCAGAGAUGUGCUGGGAUCAUUUCAGAUAAGUAUAAAGCUAAAGCACUGAGAAAUUUAGAACUCCAGAAUCAUUGGAUGAUCAAUCUAUCUUGUCAGGUUCAAGGAUUCUUUAGUUUAAUAAAGGACUUGUAUAGAGAACUUCCAUUGUUUAAGACUGUAAGUGAUAAUUGUAUAAAAAUUGCUAGCUUGAUCAAUUCCACCCCACAUAUUAGGAAUAGUUUCCACAAGUUUAGGCUGCAAGGGCUUGACAUUGCCGGGUUUGUUAGAGUACCUCCUCCUAAAUGUGAUAUAGCUAAGAUUUGGUCUCCUUUUAUUGCAAUGUUGGAUGAUUUAUUGAGCUGCUCCAGAAUUCUAAACCUAAUUGUAUCCGAUGAUUCAUGUAAAGUUGGCUUAUUGGAUGUUUCUGGUGGGGAGGUUGCAGAACUGAUUCAGGAUGUUGGAUUCUGGAGACAUGUUGAGGCUUCCCAUUCACUAGUAAAAACGAUCGUGGCGAUGGCUGAAGAUAUUGAGGCUGAGAGGCCAUCAGUUGGGCAGUGUCUCCCUCUUUGGGAGGAACUGAGGACUAAAAUAAAGGACUGGUGCAGUAAGUAUGGCAUUGCUGAAGGACCGGUAGAAAAGAUACUUGAAAGGCGAUUCAGGAAGGUGUAUCAUCCUGCAUGGUCAGCUGCAUUUAUUCUUGAUCCUCUGUAUUUGGUCAGAGAUGCUAGUGGGAAGUACCUUCCGCCUUUUAAGUGCUUGACACACGAACAAGAGAAGGACGUUGACAAGCUUGUGACGCGGCUGGUUUCAAGGGAUGAAGCACAUAUUGCUUUAAUGGAACUAAUGAAGUGGAGAUCAGAAGGCCUGGACCCGCUGUAUGCUCAGGCAGUUCAGGUAAGACAGCAAGAUCCCGUGACGGGGAAACUGAAAAUUGCCAAUCCCCAGGGCAGUAGGCUUGUGUGGGAGACUUGCCUCAAAGACCUCAAGAUAUUGGGUAAAGUUGCAGUCAGGCUUCUUUUCCUUCAUGCUACCUCAUGUGGAAUCAAACAUGAUUCGUCAUUCACAAGAUGGUUUUGUGGACAAGGAAAUUCAAGUUCGGGUUUGGAGAGGGCUCAGAAGCUAGUUUUUGUCGCAGCUCAUGCAAAGCUUGAGAGACAGGACUACUCCAGUGCUGAAGAAAAGGAUGCAGAACUUUUUGGCUCCAUAUAUGCAAGAAAUCUGCUGGAAAUCAGAACUGCUGAAUUUGUUAGCACUGCAGUAGUCAGUUGGAAUUGUUUUAUAUGGAUGAUGAAAAUCGAAAGAUUCUUAUGCUGGAAUAUACAAGCCACACUUAUGAAACUGCAAGUUUUUCUUGGGGGUAUGCAAAGUGUCUGUCUCUUUCUCUGAUAGUCGUUAUUUCUGGAUUUUGAUCUGCGAGUGUCUGUCAGUGGUAAUCACUCGGGCCGACCUUGUUAAAAAUCAAGAAACAGAGUUCUACUUGCGAAGAAGCAUUUUUACUCUUGUCUGUGUCAACUCAGAGCCCCACCAACCAAGGAUGGUGGAAGUCUAUCACAAAACUUUAGCUUUCAGCUAUCUUGCUGAAAGAGAAGUUUGCAGCUACUCUCUUCUUUGUGGCCGAGGUGCACGUUUGAGUUAAUAAUUACUUGUCUACGAUUGUUAAACAAGUCUGUUGAAGCAAAAUCACUCCUUUUGACAUUGCUGCGUGUUUGUAGACGAGUUUGGUAAUGCCAGAAGCCCAUCUACACAUGCAGAGGGUGGUUCUCGGAGAGUCGAGCUAUGCAGGCAUCACGGCACCUGUCAAGUAAAAGGUUGCAAUCAAGUAAAGUAAGUGUAUGAUUAUUCCAUUAAAGAGUUUUGAUGAUGAAUAACACAGUACAAAGGGAUGGUAGAAAAAGUUGGAAAAUUUGUGGAAUGUAUGGCAGCAACACCUCAUAUGGGGUCAUAAUAGCUACACUUUUUUCAAAUUUUCUUCUUGUGUUGGUGCUCAGUCACUC
Salvia miltiorrhiza (redroot sage) is the source of this 3313-nucleotide RNA transcript. RefSeq lists it as uncharacterized. The transcript is spliced from 3 exons. NCBI's taxonomy places the organism in Eukaryota, Viridiplantae, Streptophyta, Magnoliopsida, Lamiales, Lamiaceae. The record is from RefSeq and is a predicted model, not a curated record.